Molecule: small nucleolar RNA, 107 nt
Organism: Dioscorea cayenensis subsp. rotundata (Guinea yam)
Lineage: Eukaryota; Viridiplantae; Streptophyta; Magnoliopsida; Dioscoreales; Dioscoreaceae
Source: RefSeq, a predicted model, not a curated record
AGACCAUGUUGUGGACAUCACCUAAAAAGAUCUUUGUACCUUUCCCAAGCUUUAUAUAAUGUUUCCCCAUCUUGUUGAGUGAAAGAAGCUUUGUCAUGUUGAAGUUU